AAAUUGAAGAGUUUGAUCAUGGCUCAGAUUGAACGCUGGCGGCAGGCCUAACACAUGCAAGUCGAACGGUAGCACAGAGAGCUUGCUCUCGGGUGACGAGUGGCGGACGGGUGAGUAAUGUCUGGGAAACUGCCCGAUGGAGGGGGAUAACUACUGGAAACGGUAGCUAAUACCGCAUAACGUCGCAAGACCAAAGUGGGGGACCUUCGGGCCUCACACCAUCGGAUGUGCCCAGAUGGGAUUAGCUAGUAGGUGGGGUAACGGCUCACCUA
Molecule: ribosomal RNA, 272 nt
Filed under: Salmonella enterica subsp. enterica serovar Kentucky
Lineage: Bacteria; Pseudomonadati; Pseudomonadota; Gammaproteobacteria; Enterobacterales; Enterobacteriaceae
Description: partial 16S ribosomal RNA
Rfam family: Bacterial small subunit ribosomal RNA
Source: RNAcentral